Long non-coding RNA from Pongo pygmaeus (Bornean orangutan), 5844 nucleotides. RefSeq lists it as uncharacterized. The record is from RefSeq and is a predicted model, not a curated record. The transcript has 3 exons. Lineage: Eukaryota; Metazoa; Chordata; Mammalia; Primates; Hominidae.
GUCCGCGGCGCCCAACGGGGAAGACUGAGGUGCCGGGAGACGCGCGAGGAGCCGCCGCCGCCGCCGCCGCCGCGCCAUGGAGCCCGAGUGAGCUCCGGCCGCUGGACAACAUGGAGGCAGCGCCGCCCGGGCAGCCGUGGCCGCUGCUGCUGGUGCUGUGCGGCUGCCCGGCCCCCGCCGCAGAUGGAGUCCCGCUCUGUCGCCCAGGCUGGAGUGCUGUGGCGCGAUCUCGGCUCACUGCAAGCUCCGGCUCCCAGGUUCAUGCCAUUCUCCUGCCUCAGUCUCCCAGGUUCACACCAUUCUCCUGCCUCAGCCUCCCAAGUAGCUGGGACUACAGGUGCCCGCCACCACACCCAGCUAAUUUUUUCUAUUUUUUAGUAAAGACGGGGUUUCACCAUGUUAUCCAGGAUGGUCUCGAUCUCCUGACCUCGUAAUCCGCCCACCUCGGCCUCCCAAAGUGCUGGGAUUACAGGCAUGAGCCACCACGCCCAGCCGGAAUCUGUUCUUUAUGCUGCUAAGGUUGAGAAGCAUGCCCACCAGGUGACUCUUGGUGAGAGGUCUGGUACCUUUAGCACUGCCGGAUCCACGCCUGGAAACGCGGGCAUCCUCUGAGGAUGGCUGACGGGGGUCCUCUCAGCUUUGGAUGGCUUCUCCUCAUCUGACUCUUCCUUCCUGGGUGAUUUCUCUUCUGUUGCAAAGAAAAGGGCACUGAAGUCAUCGGCAGUUGCCAUGUAUUGAGGUCCUACGUGCCAGAUAAUUUGCACACAGUAUCUCAUGCAAUGCUCACAUCAGACCUGCACAGAAGACGCUAUGGCCCAUUUUACAGAUGAGGACCACCCAGGUGCCUGCUUUCAUGCUCUCUCUUCUCACAACUCUGCUUCUUGCUGGAAGAUACUGACAACAGGCAGAGUAGGUUUUCUUUUGCAGGAGGACACAGGCAAACCCAUCUCCUGGGCCCUUGGCUCAUUCCAAGUCAGGGAAAUAGAAGGAAAUCUUUGGGAGAGGCAGGAAAGUAGAUAGGAAUGCUUUCAGCCAACAAUGCACUGAGGUUAUGCUCUCAGAGGAGAAUGUGGAGAGCUUCAUGUGUCUUGUGGAAAGGCAGCCCAAAGGUGGACCAGGAAGCCAUUUUCCUUGACCCCAGCUCCCCUUUCCAGGACUUAACCCCAGCCCCGUGCUUGAGGCUGAGCUGAUCACUCAAGCUUACGGGUGAUGGGCUGCCUGUCCCCCUCUUCCAGGAGUGAUAUGGGAGGAGUUUCUACUUCCCUGAGACCGGAAUGCUGGCAUGGGCACAGUUAAGGAUUGGAGGAGGGGGCGGGGAUGAAUGAGGCAAGACCUGGUGCUCUGGAGCCCUUGGGCUACCCGGGGAACUGAGGUACGCUAAGAAAACACAGACCCAGCCUUCCCCAUCCAGCCCCUGGCCGGCUCCUCAAGGCUGACGGGAGCCAGAGAUGCUGCUGCCACGUUCCAGCUGGGGGUGUUUGUGUGCUUUUGUCCCCACUAUGGUCUUCAUUUGCUCCAGGUGGCUUAAUAGAGCUUUUGGCUCAGAAAACCAAGGAAGUGCAGAGAGGUCUCACCUGAGGCACUGAAACAUUUCCUUUAAUAACAGAAAUGGGAUAGGAGUGGGAGAGAGAACUCUCCAAGCAUUUCUUUAAGGUAUCUGGUCAGAAGCAAUGCCCCUCCCUCAGCUCAGAGCCUGGUCUGACAUCCUAAUGUUUGCUAUGGGCAAAUCCCAAAUGAAGAAAGGCACCUACAAGAUGUUGAGGACUAAAGGCUGUGUCUGGAUAGAGUGGGCAGGUCAGCUGCUCUAGUUUCCAUUGCAAGAAGAAAUUUUGUUUCUUCUUCUUCUUUUUUUUUUUUUCUUUUUUUUUUUUUAUGAGACGGAGUCUAGCUUUGUUGCCAGGCUGGAGUGCAGUGGCGGGAUCUCGGCUCACUGCAACCUCUGCCUCCUGGGUUCAAGCGAUUCUCCUGCCUCAGCCUCCCAAGUAGCUGAGAUUACAGGCACAUGGCACCAUGCCCAGCUAAUUUUUGUAUUUUCAGUAGAGACAGGGUUUCACCAUGUUGGCCAGAAUGGUCUCAAUCUCCUGACCUUGUGAUCCACCCAUCUUGGCCUCCCAAAGUGCUGGGAUUACAGGUGUGAGCCACCACGCCCUGCCUGUUUCUUCUUAAAAGUCUUUCAUGGCUCUCCAUCUACAGAUGAAAUCUAACUCCUUAGCAAAGCAUCAGGGAUCUCCGUGAUCUGGCCCCUGCCUACCUUUCCAGCAUAUCCUGCUAUUCCCAGCUUGAGCAACACGAAACUGCUUAGAGAUGCUCCUGCCACACACACAGAAUGUUCUUUCCACAUCUCUGUGCCUUUGAUCUUGUUGAUACUUCUGCCUGGAAUAACUUUCCCUAACUCAUUGUUAUCCAUUCCUCAAGAUUCAGCUCAGGUUUUGAUACGGUAAGCAGCCAAAAUAGUCCUUAGAAGAAAAUGUAUAGCCUUAAAUGAUGCAUUAGAAAACAGAAAAGAUUGAUAAUAUCUGGACUGAUCUUUCAACUCAGGAAUACAGAAAAAAGACCAGCGAGCAAACCUAAAGAGAAUACAGGGGUGAAUUUAAUCAAAAUAAAAGCAGAAAUAGUAAAACCUUAUUAAGCUAUGUCUCUGUCUCUUGUAACUCAAAGAGCCUCAAUUAAUAUACUAACCUUCAAAACACUGUUUUACCUAGUUUCUGAUAAGUUCUGCAUAACAAGAAAUCAGUUUCCUAUGUAAUUGUAUUCUAAUGAUCUACAGCCUUCCAAGUCAGGAAUUUUUUCGUAGGGCUUAGUCUAAAUCCUUCCUGCUGUUCAAUGUGCUAUCUGAGGAGGAGAGAAGGCAUGGCAUACCCGUUGAGUCUUUGAACAUCCACAUGUUGUCAGUCUCAUCCUCCAAAGGUGAUCUGCUCUCGGACUCACUGAAUCGGCUGCGCCGGAGGGAGUGGGAGAUGGGGGCCCGGCGGCGGCUUCUCUUGCUGAGCUGCACCCGGGUCUUGAGGGCACUUGAGUCGAGGACUGAGGUUUGCUUUGGGAGCAGCAGGGAGCAAGAGGAAAAAAAUCAAGGGAACCAUCAAUGGAGGGUACCACAACACAGUUGGUGGUACACAGCUUCGUUGACAGAUGAGAGGCUAUUUAGGUGGUACCUAGGCCAGGGCUUCCACAUUUUAAUAGUAACCUAACACCCAAAGCCUAAAUUUCCCCAUAAAACAUACCCCAUAGGCUGAUGACAAAAGUCAGGUGGAACAAUGAACCUUGAGUGCCCUAGUACAGUGCCUGGCUGCCUGGCACCCAGUAGGCACAUAAUACAAAUGCCUUUUCCCUCCCAGUGACAUCCACCACACAAGCAUGUAAUCUACAGCAAUGAUCAGUACACAGCAGGAGCUCAAUAAAUGUUUGUUUGUUUGUUUGUUGAAUGAAUAAUGGAUUUAACAUCUAACUAAAUCCUUCUGUCAACUGUAUUCACACAGAGUCCCCGGGUUGAGAGGUUCUCCGUGGAAUUCCUCCAUUACUCACAUAAUCUAGGGUGCAGGUGGGAAGGGAGGGGGCAGCUUACUAAACAUCAGGUGUCCAUUUUCAGGCAUCCCUGAAGACUCACACUCUGAGCUGCGACAGGUGGGGGGUUGGUGAGGGCUGCCAAGUCACUACUAUCCAAAGUGAAAGGGUGGGGAGCACAGACCAUCUGGGUGGGCCCCAGUAAGGAGAUGGGAAGUGCCUGGCUCAGAAUUCUCCCGGGAGACAGCAGUGAAGUGCUCAGAGCUCGGGUUCAAACCCUGCUGGGUUCGAAUCCUGGCUGUGUGACCUUGGGCAAUGAGCUUCACUUCUCUGAGCUUGGGUGUCCCUAUUUAUAAAAAGGAGAUAAACAGAGUGCCUCCUUCCUACAGUGGCUGAGAGAACUCCCUGUGCUCAGGUGUGGAAAGCCCUUGUUUCAGACAGAGCCUGACCAAGGUUCACAGCCAAGAGCUCUUUCCAGCAAGCUCAUGUUCUUACAUGAAAUGUUGGUUUCUUCCGCCUAGGUCCACUUUGGAGAAAUUCCAUCACCCAAGGCCUUCUAAGUCAGUGAUGACAGGCUAAUUUCAAUGAAUCAUUUCCCAACGAUGAGGUGCCAGCGAGAGACCUUGGCCAUACACUGAAGGAGAAUCCUCUUUGAAGCCCUAAAGGAAGCCCUUUUUCUAAAGCAGCGGUGUUCCUCCUCUGGGGAAAUGUGGGUAGCCAUGCCCAAGUGUGUAGGUGGGAGGCUUUACUGCCAGCAGAGAGGGUCCCUUUCACAUUUCGCAGACGUUCCAUACCCCAGAGAGUGGGCAGGUAGCCCUAUUGUUAUGGGAGGAGAAUAAUGACAUCACCCCUGGGUUUCAAGGGUUGAAAAGGAAGACGUGCCUGACCCCUGGAGGUGGGGCUCCCAGGGGAAAGGAGGACAAGUUCUGGUCUUGAAGGUGCUAGAGCAGGAGACCAUUUGACCUGCUACGCUGGGGCAGCUGACAUCCUGGCUGUGCUUGGGACCUGAAAGAGCUGAGUGCUAGGGGCUGUCCCCUGGGACCUCCAUGAACGGUGCCCACGCCUGAGGGGACUUUCUGUCCUGGAAGAGCCACUACAGAGACAGCCGGAUCCCCUGGUACCAGGGACACUGUUGUACCAAGCAAGACCUUAGUGAGAAUGUUCAGCAGAAUCAUUCUGAGCAAACUCCAGGCUCUUCAUGCUUGAAACUGUAAACCUCAGGGUGACUUCCCAGGGGUAAGUGGUCAGACUCCCUGCUUACCUGGCAGGUGAGGGCUUAGAUCAGUUUUAAUUUGAACACAUGCAAUUGUAUUUGAGGCUGUGGAGCUGAUGGUGCUGGUUACAAGUGGAUAAGGAAGCUGAGGCUCAAAGAGGUGAAGACAUAUGCCCCAAGACACACAGCAGGUGUAUGGCAGGUCCAAGAUACAUGCAUAAGUGAGUCCCAUUUCAAAGACGGUGCCCUCUGUACCCACUCCAAGGGUCCCUGACACACAGAUCCUACACCUGAAGCAGCAAUUCACAGAGAGAGGCUGGAAUUUCCAUUUAAGAAGAAAUGCUCCUGGCUACCGACUUACAUUGAUGAAGGAGAAGUCAUCCACUCUCUUUUCAGGGCAGGCGUCCGGUGGGGGCAGCCCCUCCAUCCCGUCAGUGGAUUCCAGGUCAGUGCUGGAGUGGUCCACGCUGGUGCUCCGCUGGUCCCUGGAGCAGUCAUACUGGUCCCCGGUUGAGGUGGGCUCCGUUUGGGAGGACAGAGAAGACAAACGGCUGCUGGGGGGCUGUUUCCUUGUCGAUGUGGCACUGCUAUCUGGGGACUCAGUGGCCAAGCUGCCAAAAAAAGGGAAUGAAGGGAGACAUGGUUAUGGAGAACGUUUCAGAGAACAGGAUUUCAAGUGAAGGAUGCUGCAGGCAGCAUAGCUUGGGGUAUGUUUUAUAAGCCAGGUAACAACAGACAGAACAUCCCAGCAGAAGACCCUCUUUGGAAACAGCACAAGAUGUGCCAGCGAGGUGCUGUUUAAGACACUGCCUGGAACACCUGGCCAGGUGCAGAACAGGAGGAGUCAGUCCUGUGCCACUCAAGAUCCUUUAGCCCUGUGCUGUCCUGGAUGGAAGCUGCUUAUCACAGGUGGUUGUUGGGUCCUUGCAAUGGAGCAAGUGACAGAGCUGAGAUAUGCCGUGAGUAUCUGACACACUGGAUUUUCUAUACCUUACACACUGGAUUUCCAAUACUUUGAAUGGAAAAAAAGAAUGUAAACUGCCUCGCUAAUAACUUUUCAUGUUAAUUACAUGUAGAAAUGAUAGUAUUUUGAAUCCCUUGGUUCCGAUAAAAUACAUCCCUAAAUUGAA